This 432-nucleotide ribosomal RNA is filed under the name uncultured prokaryote. RNAcentral describes it as "partial 16S ribosomal RNA". The record is from RNAcentral.
CCCUACGGGGUGCUGAUUGCCGGAUCGGUUCUGGGGUUCGGCGGGAUGGUGAUCCAGCAGGUCUGGUCGCCAUACGUGGUUCCGUUCCUGCUUCAUCUUUUCACGGCUAACGCCUGGUUGCUGGCGCAUGCCGACAAGUUUCCGAUCAACGGACAGUGUUUAUUAUUCUACUCCAUGGCGACGGCUUCGUUGAGUUAUGUGCUCGUGUCCCUGCUUGGUCCGCGCAAGGUCUUUGACCUGGACCGCAUGUUGCAUCGGGGCAAGUACGCGGUAACCGACGACAUCAAGGAAGCAGCCAAAGCCGACAGCGUGGCAGAGCGGACAUGGCGCCAGCGUUUCGCCAAUGCGAUUGGAUUGACGACGGAACUAAAGCGGGCAGAUCGUAUUCUGUUCUGGGCGACGUUCUGGUGGAGCAUGAAUUGGCGGGAGGGC